Molecule: ribosomal RNA, 426 nt
Filed under: uncultured bacterium
Lineage: Bacteria
Description: bacterial SSU rRNA
Rfam family: Bacterial small subunit ribosomal RNA
Source: RNAcentral
GGGCCCGCACAAGCGGUGGAGUAUGUGGUUUAAUUCGAUGCAACGCGAAGAACCUUACCAGGGUUUGACAUCCUGCGAAUCUCUUGGAAACGAGAGAGUGCCUUCGGGAGCGCAGUGACAGGUGGUGCAUGGCUGUCGUCAGCUCGUGUCGUGAGAUGUUGGGUUAAGUCCCGCAACGAGCGCAACCCACGUCUUUAGUUGCCAGCAUUUAGUUGGGCACUCUAGAGAGACCGCCGGUGAUAAACCGGAGGAAGGUGUGGAUGACGUCAAGUCAUCAUGCCCCUUACAUCCUGGGCUACACACGUACUACAAUGCUACGGACAAAGAGCAGCAAGUUCGCGAGAGCUAGCAAAUCCCAUAAACCGUGGCUCAGUUCAGAUCGUAGGCUGCAACUCGCCUACGUGAAGGCGGAAUCGCUAGUAAUCG